CAACCCUCUAAUACUAUUAGGCUAGAGUUUUUUGGGGAUGGCCGAACAUUGCGUGUAGGGGUGAAAUCCGUAAAUAUGCAACGGGCGUUCAAUUGGCGGAAGCUGCUUUCCAUUUAAAACUGACACUGAGGCGCGAAAGCGUAGGUUUCGAACGGGAUUAGAUACCCCGGUAGUCUACGCCCUGACCGAUGAGUAUUGGCUGUGAUUCAGUUAAGCUAACGCGUUAAAUACUCCACCUGAGUACUACGACCGCAAGGUUAAAACUCAAAGAAACUGACGGAAGAUUGUAUAAGCGGUGGAGUAUGUCGGUUUAAUUUGAUAUAACGCAAUGAAUCUUACCAACAAUUGAAUACUAAGUAUACAGCAUUGGUGUAUCGCGGCUAUGGCCCUUUACAUUCAAUCUUAUGGGCGCAGGGAGAAUUUUUAUUCCUCCUGCGCGCUUAGUACAGGUGCUGCAUGGUUGUCGUCAGUCCGUUUCGUGAGAUGUUAUGUUAAUUCAUUUAACGGACGUAACCUUUAACCUUAUUUAUAUUUUCAAAUAAGGUAAUUGCUAAUUAACAUUAGUUGAGAGGAGAGGAAGUCAAAUCAUUAUGGCCUAUAUGGGUUUGGGCUACACACGUACUACAAUGGUAAUUACAAUGCGAAGCAAUGAUGCGAAUCAAAGCGAAUCGUUAACAUUAACCGUAGUUCGGAUUAUUC
RNAcentral lists this ribosomal RNA (699 nucleotides) under uncultured bacterium. RNAcentral describes it as "bacterial SSU rRNA". It matches the Rfam family "Bacterial small subunit ribosomal RNA", at positions 620 to 1303 of the family's 1533-position model. The record is from RNAcentral.